RNAcentral lists this transfer RNA (73 nucleotides) under Camelus bactrianus (Bactrian camel). It matches the Rfam family "tRNA". From Rfam's summary of the family: Transfer RNA (tRNA) molecules are approximately 80 nucleotides in length. Their secondary structure includes four short double-helical elements and three loops (D, anti-codon, and T loops). The record is from Rfam by way of RNAcentral. Lineage: Eukaryota; Metazoa; Chordata; Mammalia; Artiodactyla; Camelidae. RNAcentral also lists the same sequence under 2 other names.
GAGGGUAUAGCUCAAGCGGUAGAGCGCAUGCUUAGCAUGCAUGAGGUCUUGAGUUUAAUCCCCAGUACCUCCU